UUAGGAUUAAGUGUAUUGGUAGCACGAAGAAUUUUGAAUUCUUAGGAGUAGGUUCAAUUCCUGUUAUCCUAG
RNAcentral lists this transfer RNA (72 nucleotides) under Apodemus peninsulae (Korean field mouse). Its description in RNAcentral is "tRNA-Gln". It matches the Rfam family "tRNA". Rfam says of the family: Transfer RNA (tRNA) molecules are approximately 80 nucleotides in length. The record is from RNAcentral. Lineage: Eukaryota; Metazoa; Chordata; Mammalia; Rodentia; Muridae.